AUGAAUUGCUUAAGUUGGAACUGUCGAGGGGCGGGGAACCCUCGAACAAUUCGCAAUCUUGCGGCCCUUGUGGCCGCCCAUUCCCCGAAGUUGGUUUUUUUGUGUGAAACUAGACAGCCUAGAGAUAAAAUGUUUCGGCUUCGUUCUCGUUUAGGUCUUUCGGGUUUUGAAGGAAUUAGUAGUGAAGGCAUGAGUGGAGGUCUUGCUUUAUUUUGGGAUGAGUCUGUAUCAGUUCAAGUCCAAAAGUUCAAUAAAAGAUGGAUUGAUGUGUAUGUCAGGGUGUCAAAUAAUGACCCGCAAUGGCGGGUUACCUUUGUUUAUGGUGAAUCUAGGGUUGAGAACAGGCACCUCAUGUGGGACUCUUUGAGUCGCCUCCAUGGAAUCAGUGAUCUUCCGUGGAUGAUUGUCGGAGAUUUCAACGAAGCAAUGUGGGACUACGAGCAUUUAUCAGAAACCCCGAGAGCCCCAGGGCAAAUGCUUAUUUUCAGAGAUGCUCUUGAAACUUGUGGUCCCAUUGAUUUGGGUUUUGCAGGGUACCCCUUCACAUAUGAUAACAGGAGGGCCGGUCGGGCAAAUGUGCAAGUGCGACUGGACCGGGCGGUGGCCACUGGUGCGUGGCGUGACUUGUUUGCGGAUGCGGCGGUGGUUCAUUUGGUGUCGCCACGAUCCGACCAUUGCCCCGUCCUUGUCCGGUGUGUCCAGGACACGGCGCCCAAACUGUAA
Molecule: ribosomal RNA, 723 nt
Filed under: Triticum aestivum (bread wheat)
Lineage: Eukaryota; Viridiplantae; Streptophyta; Magnoliopsida; Poales; Poaceae
Description: partial small subunit ribosomal RNA
Source: RNAcentral